This 71-nucleotide transfer RNA is filed under the name Chitinophagaceae bacterium. RNAcentral's name for it is "tRNA-Gln". It matches the Rfam family "tRNA". Rfam says of the family: Transfer RNA (tRNA) molecules are approximately 80 nucleotides in length. The record is from RNAcentral. RNAcentral also lists the same sequence under 1 other name. Lineage: Bacteria; Pseudomonadati; Bacteroidota; Chitinophagia; Chitinophagales; Chitinophagaceae.
UGCCCGAUAGUAUAAUGGUAGUACGACAGAUUCUGGCUCUGUAUGUUGGGGUUCGAGCCCUCAUCGGGCAA